AGCUGUGGGACACUCUGAUCAUUGUAUGAUUCACCUAGUACCUGCUUACAGACAAAGACUUAAAACCAUGAAACCAACAAUUAAAUCACUGAAGACAUGGACUGAGGAGGCAAAGCUAAAGCUACAGACUUGCCUUGACUGCACUGAUUGGAAUAUUUUCACAG
Non-coding RNA from Notechis scutatus (mainland tiger snake), 164 nucleotides. The record is from RefSeq and is a predicted model, not a curated record. Lineage: Eukaryota; Metazoa; Chordata; Lepidosauria; Squamata; Elapidae.